UACGUAAGGGGCAAGCGUUGUCCGGAAUCACUGGGCGUAAAGCGCACGUAGGCGGUUUGUCAAGUUGGGGGUGUAAGCUCCAGGCUUAACCUGGAAAUUGCCUCCAAAACUAGCAUACUUGAGUAUUAGAGGGGAAGCUGGAAUUCACGGUGUAGCGGUGAAAUGCGUAGAUAUCGUGGAGAACACCCGUGGCGAAGGCGGGCUUCUGGCUAAUUACUGACGCUGAGGUGCGAAAGCUAGGGGAGCGAACGGG
This 253-nucleotide ribosomal RNA is filed under the name uncultured prokaryote. RNAcentral's name for it is "partial 16S ribosomal RNA". It matches the Rfam family "Bacterial small subunit ribosomal RNA", at positions 524 to 776 of the family's 1533-position model. The record is from RNAcentral.